AGCAGCCGCGGUAAUUCCAGCUCCAAUAGCGUAUAUUAAAGUUGUUGCAGUUAAAAAGCUCGUAGUUGAAUUUCGGGGUCAGUAGGUUGGUCAUGCCACAGGUAUGUACUGAUCUUACUGAUUCCUCCUUCCUGAUGAACCGUAAUGCCAUUAAUUUGGUGUUGCGGGGAAACUGGACUGUUACUUUGAAAAAAUUAGAGUGUUUAAAGCAGGCUAACGCUUGAAUACAUUAGCAUGGAAUAAUGAAAUAGGACGUUCGAUCCUAUUUUGUUGGUUUCUAGGAUUGACGUAAUGAUUAAUAGGGAUAGUUGGGGGCAUUAGUAUUCAAUUGUCAGAGGUGAAAUUCUUGGAUUUAUUGAAGACUAACUACUGCGAAAGCAUUUGCCAAGGAUGUUUUCAUUAAUCAAGAACGAAAGUUAGGGGAUCGAAGACGAUCAGAUACCGUCGUAGUCUUAACCAUAAACUAUGCCGACUAGGGAUCGGAUGAUGUUAAUUUUUUAAUGACUCAUUCGGCGUCCG
Molecule: ribosomal RNA, 519 nt
Filed under: uncultured fungus
Lineage: Eukaryota; Fungi
Description: SSU rRNA
Rfam family: Eukaryotic small subunit ribosomal RNA
Source: RNAcentral